Long non-coding RNA from Osmia bicornis bicornis, 2126 nucleotides. RefSeq lists it as uncharacterized. Lineage: Eukaryota; Metazoa; Arthropoda; Insecta; Hymenoptera; Megachilidae. The transcript has 3 exons. The record is from RefSeq and is a predicted model, not a curated record.
CGGAAUGAAAGAAUGAACGAAUUAUUAGUGAAGUUAUUAAUAAAGAAAUUAAAGAGAAUGAAGUGAAUAGGAAGCGUAAAGUAUAAAGUGAAAGCCACGACCAGCAUAAUGUAAUAAUAUAGGGUAAAGCAACGCAGUGUAAUAUAAUGCAAUGUAAUAUAAUAUAAUGUAAAACAAAUGAUAUAUAAUAAAAUAAAGUAGAAUAUAAAAUACAAGAAGUGGACUCAAAAUAUAACCGUAAAGCUUAUUAACUAAAUACUCUAUUUCUUUACCAAAGUAAAUUAUAUGUUAAAUGGUAAAUGGUGGAUGAUAAGUGAUCAUGUCAAUGCAAAUGUAAAUAAUACCAAUUAUUUCAUGACAUUUCAAAAUAAGGAAAUAAACAACACGUAAAUAAAUCAAAUCAAAUGUAAACUGUGUAAUUCAGUUAAACACUAUGCUACUGCAUAGUGUAAGAAUAAAUCAAUCAAUCAAUCAAUAAGUAAAGUAUUUUAAACUAAUAUUUAAAAUGGUGAAAUUAAACAGAACCCGCGCAGCAUGAAAGCAUUUGAAUAGACAAAACCACUCAUCAUCACAGAAGAAUAGCAAAAUUAAUUAAGAUAAAUCAAAUCAAAUCACCAACUUCAACUGAUCAGAAUGAAUAAAUGAAUGAAUAACGAAUAAUGAAUAAGUGAAUGAAUGAAUGAAUGAAUAAAUCAAGGAAGAGAGAAACAGCAGAAUACCAGCAAGUACGAGUAAGCAACCCCUAAUGUGCCAAAGCCACGGUGUCAAAACUAGCAUGCAAGGACUAGUUAAAAGGAACGACAUUGAAUAAGAGAACUGAAUUGCAACUGAAAAGGAAAAGAAAAGAAAGGAAACAAGAAACAGCCCACCAUCAUGGAAGAGCAACAUUAUGACCAGAGAGAGACGUCAUGAAUAAAUUGAAUUAAAGAAUAUCAAAAGAACAUCAAAAUGUCCAAUGAAUAUCAAGAAUGCACAGGCAAAUCAAGAACCAAAUCAAGAAGCGAUAAUGAAAUAAAAUGAAUAUCAAUAACAGCGAUAACGUGUCAUAAUAAACUGGAAUAUAUAAAUAUAAAUAUACUAAAAUAUAAAAUAUAGAAUAAAGAAUAACCAUAUGGAAACAAAUCAUAAAUAUAUUAAUACAAUCUACAGAGCUUUGUACCAUCAUGAGUUAAAAUAAACUAAAUCAUAAUAAUUACUUUAAUUCAAUUCAAUUCAGUUCAGAAUGAAUGGCAGUGAUAGAAUGAAAGAAUGAACAACUGAAACAAUGAAGUAAUUAAUUAAAGAUACUAAUGAAUGAGUUAAAUAAGGUAAAUAGUUAUAAGUCAUAAAGUAUAAAGUGAAGGUAGUAACCAACAUAAUGUAAAUAAUGUAAUAUCACGUAAUAUAAUGUAAAACAUAAUGAAUUAUACUAAAAUAGAAUACAAAAUAAAAUACAAGAAGUGAAUAAAAUAUAAUACAACCGUACAGAUUAUUAGCUACAAUACUUUAUUUCUUUCCCAAAAUAGCCCAUAAGUUAAAUUAUAAAUUAUAAAUGGCAAACGAUAAACGAUGAAUGAUUAUGUCAAUGCAAAUGCAAAUAGGACUUACUAUUAAAUGUUGUAUCAAAAUAAAAUAACUGAAGCGACAAUAAUCAAAUCAAAUAUAAAGUACGCAGUUCAAUAAACACUGCACCAGUAUAUAGACUGAAUAAAUAAUUAAAUAAAUGAGUAAAUAAAUAAGGAUACUUAAAUAACAAGGUUAUAAUAAACCACGCACAAUCAAAGCAUUUGAAUUGACAAAACCACCCAUCAUCACAGAGAGAGCAAAACCAAAGUAAAAUAAAAGUAAAAUAAAUGUAAAAUAAAUCAUAUUCAUUAACUUUAAUUGAUCAGAAUGAAUGAGUGAAUGAAUAAUGAAUGAAUGAAUAUAUGGAACCAUUAAGAAAGUAAGAUUAAGAAAGCUAAAGGUUAAGGAAAAUAAAGAAGGUAAGACAUGAGUGAAAACAAGAAGCAGGAAUGUAUCAGAACGAAUGAACAAUGAUAGAAUGAAAGAAUGAACGACUGAACAGUGAAGUAAUCAAUUAAAGAUAUCAAAGAAGAAUGAGGUAAAUUAUAGAGUAAAUAAUAAGGCAUAAAAUAUAAAGUGAA